This 666-nucleotide ribosomal RNA is filed under the name Dreissena presbensis. RNAcentral describes it as "eukaryotic LSU rRNA". It matches the Rfam family "Eukaryotic large subunit ribosomal RNA", at positions 378 to 846 of the family's 3401-position model. Lineage: Eukaryota; Metazoa; Mollusca; Bivalvia; Myida; Dreissenidae. The record is from RNAcentral.
GAAGAGAGAGUUCAAGAGUACGUGAAACCGCAUAGAGUCAAACUGGUGGAUCCGCAGAGUCCGCGCGGGGAAUUCAGCUCGGCAGGCGGGGCCGUGCGCCGGCCGAGAUUCGUCUCGGACCUGGCCGGCGCGCUGCGUACUCGCAGGCAGGGUGCACUUUCCCCGGCUAGCGGAAGGCCACGACCGGUUCGGUGGCGGUCAGGAGCCCGGAGCGGGAGGUAGCCGUGAUCGGUUCACGCCGAUUGCGGAACGUACAGCCCUCCGAGGUGGACUCGCCGCUGGACCGAGGAUGCCGCGGUGGCCUCACGCCGCGGGCCGUCCGGGAGCGUUCGACUUUGGCCACGCUGCUCGCAGCCGGCCGAGACCGCGCUUCUGGUACGGGCUCGCGAACGGGGGCCGCCUAGGGUCAGUGGCGAAUCGGUCGGCAACCCACCAGACCCGUCUUGAAACACGGACCAAGGAGUCUAGCAUGUGCGCGAGUCACGGGGUCUCUCGAAACCCAAGGGCGCAAUGAAAGUGAAGGCCGCCUCCGGCUGGCCCAGGCAAGAUCCCGAGACGUUCGCGUCGAGGGCGCACUGCCGGCCCGUCUCGCUGGCAUCGACCACGAGGCGGAGCAAGAGCGCACACGCUGGGACCCGAAAGAUGGUGAACUAUGCCUGAGUAGGA